Molecule: unclassified non-coding RNA, 600 nt
Filed under: Hevea brasiliensis (rubber tree)
Lineage: Eukaryota; Viridiplantae; Streptophyta; Magnoliopsida; Malpighiales; Euphorbiaceae
Source: RNAcentral
GUGGGAUUGAUGGUGUUCCAGCAAUUUGGAGGGAUCAACGGGAUAGGUUUCUUUGCAAGUGAAACCUUCGCCUCAGCAGGUCCAUCAGUAGGCAGAAUUGGAACAAUUGCUUAUGCUUGUAUUCAGGUUCCAAUUACUGUUGCUGGUGUAAUCUUAAUGGACAAAUCUGGAAGAAGGCCACUUAUUAUGGUGUCUGCCGCUGGGACUUCUCUUGGUUGCUUCCUUGCCGGAGCUUCUUUCUUUCUCAAGGGCCGCGGUUGGCUGCUCGAUUUCGUGCCCGUGCUCGUUGUUGCCGGAGUGCUGAUUUUUGUGGCAUUUUUCUCAAUUGGAAUGGGAGCUGUUCCUUGGGUGAUAAUGUCUGAGAUAUUUCCAAUUAAUGUGAAAGGAGUAGCUGGGAGCAUAGUAGCAUUGGUGAAUUGGUUGGGUGCUUGGAUUGUCUCUUUUACCUUCAAUUUCUUCAUGAGCUGGAGUUCUUCUGGGACAUUUUUUAUUUACUCUCUAAUAUCUUUGAUGACAAUUCUAUUUGUGAUCAAGUUGGUCCCAGAAACCAAAGGAAAAACCCUAGAAGAAAUUCAAGCAUCCAUUCAUUCACAAAGAGAA